UACGAAGGGUGCUAGCGUUGUUCGGAAUUAUUGGGCGUAAAGGGUGCGUAGGCGGUUUGGUAAGUCUUAUGUGAAAUCUACAGGCUCAACUUGUAGUCUGCAUGAGAAACUGCCGGGCUUGAGUAUGGGAGAGGUGAGUGGAAUUCCUGGUGUAGCGGUGAAAUGCGUAGAUAUCAGGAGGAACACCUGUGGCGAAAGCGGCUCACUGGACCAUAACUGACGCUGAUGCACGAAAGCUAGGGGAGCAAACAGG
Molecule: ribosomal RNA, 253 nt
Filed under: uncultured bacterium
Lineage: Bacteria
Description: partial 16S ribosomal RNA
Rfam family: Bacterial small subunit ribosomal RNA
Source: RNAcentral